CGGGCGGCCGUGACCCUGCUGGAGUGCGGGGGGGACCUCCAGCCCCCCGGGGGGUCCCUGCGCCUCCUCUGCCGAGGGGCCGGGUUCAGUUUUGGCAGUUUUGCGAUGGAUUGGGUUCGCCAGAGACCCGGGCAGGGGCUGGAGUGGCUCGCAGGGAUCAACACUGGUGGAGGCAUCGGCUACGCGCCAUCGGUCAAGGGCCGGGUCACGAUCUCCAGGGACAACGGGCAGAGCUCGGUGACGCUGACCAUGAACAACCUCAAGGACGAGGAUUCCGGAUCCUAUUUCUGUGCCAAAACUGCUGUUGCUGGUUGGGGUGCUGGUGCUGCUGAUCGUUUUGGCCCCACCCUUAUCGCUGUGUCUCCCCAGUCCCCGUUCCCCAGCCCCUUC
Molecule: non-coding RNA, 390 nt
Organism: Melospiza melodia melodia
Lineage: Eukaryota; Metazoa; Chordata; Aves; Passeriformes; Passerellidae
Source: the annotation of a RefSeq genome assembly